Molecule: ribosomal RNA, 477 nt
Filed under: uncultured bacterium
Lineage: Bacteria
Description: bacterial SSU rRNA
Rfam family: Bacterial small subunit ribosomal RNA
Source: RNAcentral
ACCUUACCAGCUCUUGACAUCUUCUGACAACUCUAGAGAUAGAGUGUUCCCUUCGGGGACAGAAUGACAGGUGGUGCAUGGUUGUCGUCAGCUCGUGUCGUGAGAUGUUGGGUUAAGUCCCGUAACGAGCGCAACCCUUGUUGUUAGUUGCCAGCAUUAAGUUGGGCACUUUAACGAGACUGCCGGUGAUAAACCGGAGGAAGGCGGGGAUGACGUCAAAUCAUCAUGCCCCUUAUGAGCUGGGCUACACACGUGCUACAAUGGAUGGUACAACGAGCAGCGAUCCCGCAAGGGCUAGCUAAUCUUUCAAAGCCAUUCUCAGUUCGGAUUGCACUCUGCAACUCGAGUGCAUGAAGUCGGAAUCGCUAGUAAUCGCGAAUCAGAAUGUCGCGGUGAAUCCGUUCCCGGGUCUUGUACACACCGCCCGUCACACCACGAGAGUUUGAAACACCCGAAGUCGGCCGGCCAACCCUAUGG